RNAcentral lists this ribosomal RNA (468 nucleotides) under uncultured bacterium. RNAcentral describes it as "partial 16S ribosomal RNA". It matches the Rfam family "Bacterial small subunit ribosomal RNA", at positions 28 to 507 of the family's 1533-position model. The record is from RNAcentral.
GACGAACGCUGGCGGCGUGCUUAACACAUGCAAGUCGAACGGAAAGGCCCUGCUUUUGUGGGGUGCUCGAGUGGCGAACGGGUGAGUAACACGUGAGUAACCUGCCCUUGACUUUGGGAUAACUUCAGGAAACUGGGGCUAAUACCGGAUAGGAGCUCCUGCUGCAUGGUGGGGGUUGGAAAGUUUCGGCGGUUGGGGAUGGACUCGCGGCUUAUCAGCUUGUUGGUGGGGUAGUGGCUUACCAAGGCUUUGACGGGUAGCCGGCCUGAGAGGGUGACCGGCCACAGUGGGACUGAAAUACGGCCCAGACUCCUACGGGAGGCAGCAGUGGGGAAUAUUGCACAAUGGGCGGAAGCCUGAUGCAGCAACGCCGCGUGCGGGAUGACGGCCUUCGGGUUGUAAACCGCUUUCGCCUGUGACGAAGCGUGAGUGACGGUAAUGGGUAAAGAAGCACCGGCUAACUACGUG